GCAGUGGGGAAUAUUGGACAAUGGGCGAAAGCCUGAUCCAGCCAUGCCGCGUGUGUGAAGAAGGUCUUCGGAUUGUAAAGCACUUUAAGUUGGGAGGAAGGGCAGUAAGCGAAUACCUUGCUGUUUUGACGUUACCGACAGAAUAAGCACCGGCUAACUCUGUGCCAGCAGCCGCGGUAAUACAGAGGGUGCAAGCGUUAAUCGGAAUUACUGGGCGUAAAGCGCGCGUAGGUGGUUUGUUAAGUUGAAUGUGAAAUCCCCGGGCUCAACCUGGGAACUGCAUCCAAAACUGGCAAGCUAGAGUAGGGCAGAGGGUGGUGGAAUUUCCUGUGUAGCGGUGAAAUGCGUAGAUAUAGGAAGGAACACCAGUGGCGAAGGCGACCACCUGGGCUCAUACUGACACUGAGGUGCGAAAGCGUGGGGAGCAAACAGGAUUAGA
RNAcentral lists this ribosomal RNA (439 nucleotides) under uncultured bacterium. RNAcentral's name for it is "bacterial SSU rRNA". It matches the Rfam family "Bacterial small subunit ribosomal RNA", at positions 351 to 782 of the family's 1533-position model. The record is from RNAcentral.